This 253-nucleotide ribosomal RNA is filed under the name uncultured bacterium. RNAcentral's name for it is "partial 16S ribosomal RNA". It matches the Rfam family "Bacterial small subunit ribosomal RNA", at positions 524 to 776 of the family's 1533-position model. The record is from RNAcentral.
UACAGAGGUCCCGAGCGUUGUUCGGAUUCAUUGGGCGUAAAGGGUGCGUAGGCGGCGGGGAAAGUCUGAUGUGAAAUCCUGGGGCUCAACCCUGGAACUGCAUUGGAUACUUCCUUGCUAGAGUACUGGAGAGGAAACUGGAAUUUACGGUGUAGCAGUGAAAUGCGUAGAGAUCGUAAGGAAGACCAGUGGCGAAGGCGGUUCUCUGGGACGGUACUGACGCUGAGACGCGAAAGCGUGGGGAGCGAACAGG